Molecule: long non-coding RNA, 374 nt
Organism: Oncorhynchus tshawytscha (Chinook salmon)
Lineage: Eukaryota; Metazoa; Chordata; Actinopteri; Salmoniformes; Salmonidae
Source: Ensembl
UGAUUCUUCUGAAGCGCAUGUCAGAGAGGAGGAGGAGGGAGGGAAUGAACCAGGAAGAGAGAGACAGAGAGAGAGAGAGAGAGAAGGCAGCCUCCGGUUGACAGUACAUGGAGGUCUGCAGGAUCUCCAGGACCAGGAACCAUCCCUGGCUGCUGCGCCUGGUGUGUGUUCUGCCUCCUGCUAUCACAAGGGGGCUUUCAUCACCACUGAAUGGUAUGCUGUCCUGAUGUCUCUCUCAAAGCCAGGAGGACUGACGUGGCGUCAGAGAUUCCCCCUGGAUCAGCCCCUGAGAGCUGUAGGAUCCACCCAGGAGGAUGCAGGGCCUCAGGAGGGCCUCAGGAGGAACCGCUCUAGCCAGCUCUGACUUCUGGUGG